GGAAGACCUUUGGUUUGACCCUUGUAUUGUAAUAUCGGGCUACUCUUUGUCGGUAUGCAGCCAUUCGUAUUUGAGCUUACUGUCGAACCUCUGGGAGCAAGUCCAAGUCAGCUCUUGGACAGUCGGAGUUGCUUGGCUCUGCAUACCAUUCAACUCUCAUUAAUGGCAGUCCGAUCUCCACUGGGAUCACUGCUUCCAUUCCAUAUGCGAGGUUAAAUGGAGUUUCUCCUAUUGGAAUGUGAGGAAUUGUCUGAUAGGCUAAUAGAACUGCAUAUAAUUCUUCUACCCAC
This 290-nucleotide long non-coding RNA is filed under the name Elaeis guineensis (African oil palm). Its description in RNAcentral is "long non-coding RNA (EGUI_LNC023272)". Lineage: Eukaryota; Viridiplantae; Streptophyta; Magnoliopsida; Arecales; Arecaceae. The record is from RNAcentral.